Molecule: ribosomal RNA, 429 nt
Filed under: Actinomycetes bacterium
Lineage: Bacteria; Bacillati; Actinomycetota; Actinomycetes
Description: Actinobacteria bacterium partial 16S ribosomal RNA
Rfam family: Bacterial small subunit ribosomal RNA
Source: RNAcentral
UAGGGAAUCUUCCGCAAUGGGCGAAAGCCUGACGGAGCAACGCCGCGUGAGUGAUGAAGGUCUUCGGAUCGUAAAACUCUGUUAUUAGGGAAGAACAAACGUGUCAGUAACUAUGCACGUCUUGACGGUACCUAAUCAGAAAGCCACGGCUAACAACGUGCCAGCAGCCGCGGUAAUACGAAGGUGGCAAGCGUUAUCCGGAAUUAUUGGGCGUAAAGCGCGCGUAGGCGGUUUUUUAAGUCUGAUGUGAAAGCCCACGGCUCACCCGUGGAGGGUCAUUGGAAACUGGAAAACUUGAGUGCAGAAGAGGAAAGUGGAAUUCCGUGUGUAGCGGUGAAAUGCGCAGAGAUAUGGAGGAACCCCAGUGGCGAAGGCGCCUUUCUGGUCUGUAACUGACUCUGAUGUGCAAAAGCGUGGGGAUCAAACAGG